GUUGUUAUGAUUUGAAACCAUAAACAAAUGUCAUGAGAUCUAAAAUCAUAGGCUGAGCAAGAGAAAAAGAUGAUUUAACAUUUUCUGGACUUAAGCUGGCCUUCAUUUUGUGAUUUAAAUCAAUUAUUUAUCUAUUCUGACUGUAAUUUUCCCCUCUAAUGUUAGGGACCUCCUACUGCUGUAAGGAAAAAGGACGAUGACUGCUCUUGGUGCUUUGAGCUGAGAGGGGGCAAUGUGCAGUGGGGCAAGCAGUUUGGAGUCCCUUUUUAGAAAUUGGGUGGGUCAAGGAGUCCAUGGUAAAAAUCUGGUUCAGGAAGAACCGAUUGUAAAUUCACCUGGGGGUGGGCAUACAAAAUAGCAGUUGUAGCAUCUGGAACCUGUCAGUGAAUAUCCUGAAGAUGAUAGAAAUCAAUAAUUGUUUACCAGGAGGUGGAAGACCUGAGAAAUUGUCCCCAUAAUAAGGCCUAACAAAGCCUAAUAAGGUCCCUUUUUAGGGAACAUAAAUCUUUAACAUUGUCAGAGUUAAAAGGAAUGUAGACACAACAUUUAGUUAAGUUAGUUAAUGUCAUCUGAUUUUUGUAAAAUAUCUUUUUUAUUGGCAUGACCUCUGUGUUCAGUAGAGAUCCCUUUGUUACUUAGGGUUAGAUAAUACUAGCAGACAUUGAUUAAGUCUACCUGUGUAGGAGGUUAGGAAGAUCUGUAGGCCUUAAACUGACUAAAAACUUCUGGCUCUGGCAGUUUCUAUUGAUAGUUAUCAGGCAUCCUUGCCUAAG
RNAcentral lists this long non-coding RNA (773 nucleotides) under Marmota monax (woodchuck). Lineage: Eukaryota; Metazoa; Chordata; Mammalia; Rodentia; Sciuridae. The record is from RNAcentral.